Non-coding RNA from Coturnix japonica (Japanese quail), 454 nucleotides. The record is from RefSeq and is a predicted model, not a curated record. Lineage: Eukaryota; Metazoa; Chordata; Aves; Galliformes; Phasianidae.
UUGCCUAAAAUGGGCAAUGCAGGUGCACUGGGAUGACUCUAUCCCACAAAAAUGUAUAGGGCAUGGGAUGUAUAACGUACUGACAUAAAAAAAAAAGGGAUUUGGCCAGUAUAUUAGUCCUGCUAGAGCCAUAAAGAGGGUUGUACUGAGUCUUACUUGUUUAAGAGGCUGGCUUUAUUCAAAAAUGUGUGUGCAUUGGAUUGCUUGGAGGAUUCAGCAGACACUGUUGCAUGAUGGGUAAGCAGUAUGCAAAUCAGAAGCCUUAAGCCAAGAAUAGCAAAUUGGUCAAGAAAACUGUGGCUUUCAGAGAAGCAGCCUAGUGCAAGUGUCAGCAAGCGUUACGAGAUAAUCUCUGAUGUGAAAAAGUGGGAUUUGUCUGCAUGGUCAAAUGAAGCACACAGCCAUAUGUCCAGAACAGCCAGCAGGAGAUGCUUUGUUUUCCCUGUCACUGGAG